AAAAUGUUUGUAGAAGGAGAUGCGGCCCCUAGUGAAGGAGAUGUAUCCUCAACUUGUAUAGAUGCGUUUUUUUUUGCAGAGACCAAAAUGGCUGGAGAAGGAUAUGUGGCUGACAAUGAAACAGAGGUUCCCAUUUUUUAUUAUUUUUACCCUAUUAGCAUUUUAAUUUUUUGAGUUUUAUCCUCUGACAUUUUAUUAUGCCCUUUUCUUAUGCCCUCUUAGUAUCCCAAUGUUUUGUUCAUUGUAGGGUUCUGCAAAUCCGAUCUCACGACGGAACUCAAAAAGGGCUGCUAAGCGGCAGCCGCAUGGAGAUGAUAAGGAUGGGAAUGGAGAGGGUGACGAU
Molecule: long non-coding RNA, 343 nt
Filed under: Triticum aestivum (bread wheat)
Lineage: Eukaryota; Viridiplantae; Streptophyta; Magnoliopsida; Poales; Poaceae
Description: long non-coding RNA (TAES_LNC025503)
Source: RNAcentral